This is a long non-coding RNA of Ictalurus punctatus (channel catfish), 2933 nucleotides long. The record is from Ensembl. NCBI's taxonomy places the organism in Eukaryota, Metazoa, Chordata, Actinopteri, Siluriformes, Ictaluridae.
UUUUCAUUGCUUUGGUUCUUUGGAGAGAUACAAGUGGAUUCGGAGUGUGGAAUACAACCUCUGUUGUUGAUUGGCAAGCUGGACGCUCUAAUGCAACAUGGAACCAAAAUUUUCACUUCGCUACGCCUGUUCAAGCUUUGGAGCUACUGUCCAGAAAAAGUGCAAAUGGAAAUGUUGACGGAGGAAAUUCUAGUAGUUUCAGUUAUACUUCAGAAGUCCAAACUGCUCAACAGGAUUCUAGUUUUGUUCAGUCUUCUGGUGGUGCUGCUCAAGGUAAACCUGUACUAAAUGCUCAAGGUCAAGCAACUCCCAUGGUUCAACCGCAGGACAACUUGAUGACUCAGUCCUCAAGGCUCUAUUGGUUUGAAUCUCUCAAGCCUGAAAACUGUGGCACUUUGCUCUCUCAAUCUUGGCCUCAAAAAGGUCAGAAUAACGGUGGAUUCCAAAGACCAUCCAGGUUCCAGUUUGGAGGCACUGCAAACCAGACAUCUGGAUCCCAGACCCAGUCGUCAUACCAGCCUAGCACCACAACACAGGUUCAGACAGGCGAGUCUAUUGCCCAGCCUGAGUCUUUCGGAGCUUCAGCUUCAUAUCCAAGUCAAACCUCUGGCAUGUACUCUGUUGUACAGGGUCCUCUGAUUGCAUCCUCUUCCCAAAUGCCUGGGUUCCACAUCCAGUCAUCAUACCAGCCUGGCACCACAACACAGGUUCAGACAGGCCAGUCUGCGUCUACAUCUCAGGCUCAGUCCUCUGGUGCGUCAACGUUGUAUCAAGGGAUUAGCUCUGGCAGGUAUCUGACUUCACUGGGUCAUAUAAUUCCAUCCUCCUCCCAGUCUGUGGUCACUACAAACCAGACAUCUGGAUCCCAGACCCAGUCAUCAUACCAGCCUAGCACUACAACGCUCCUUCAGACAGGCCAGCCUGUUCUUCCUCAGAGUCAGCCUUCGGGAGCUUCUGCUUCAUAUCCAAGUCAAACCUCUGGCGUGUACAAUAUUGCACAGCGUCCAUUGACUGCAACCCUUUCCGAAAUACCUGGGUUCCACAUCCAGUCAUCAUACCAGCCUGGCACUACAACACUGCUUCAGACAGGCCAGUCUGCGUCUACAUCUCAGGCUCAGUCCUCUGGUGCAUCAACAUUGUAUCAAGGAAUUAGGAGGAAUGUGACUUCUCUGGGUCAUGGCUUUCCAUACUCAACCCAGUCUGUGGUGACUGCAAACCAGACAUCUGGAUCCCAGACCCAGUCAUCAUACCAGCCUGGCACUACAACACUGCUUCAGACAGGCCAGUCUGCUCCUACAUCUCAGGCUCAGUCCUCUGGUGCAUCAACAUUGUAUCAAGGAAUUAGGAGAAAUGUGACUUCUCUGGGUCAUGGCUUUCCAUACUCAACCCAGUCUGUGGUGACUGCAAACCAGACAUCUGGAUCCCAGACCCAGUCAUCAUACCAGCCUGGCACCACAACACUGCUUCAGACAGGCCAGUCUGCUUCUACAUCUCAGGCUCUUGGCAGCCCUGGAGCUGCACCUUCAGGACAUGCUAAAUGGUACACCAUUGUACAAGGUCAGACAAUUCCAUCUUCUCAAGCGUCUGAAUCCCAGACCCAGUCAUCAUACCAGCCUAGCACUACAACACUGCUUCAGACAGGCCAGUCUGCUUCUACAUCUCAGGCUCAGUCCUCUGGUGCAUCAACAUUGUAUCAAGGAAUUAGGAGGAAUGUGACUUCUCUGGGUCAUGGCUUUCCAUACUCAACCCAGUCUGUGGUGACUGCAAACCAGACAUCUGGAUCCCAGACCCAGUCAUCAUACCAGCCUGGCACCACAACACUGCUUCAGACAGGCCAGUCUGCUUCUACAUCUCAGGCUCUUGGCAGCCAUGGAGCUGCACCUUCAGGACAUGCUAAAUGGUACACCAUUGUACAAGGUCAGACAAUUCCAUCUUCUCAAGCGUCUGGAUCCCAGACCCAGUCAUCAUACCAGCCUAGCACUACAACACUGCUUCAGACAGGCCAGCCUGUUCUUCCUCAGAGUCAGCCUUCGGGAGCUUCUGCUCCAUAUCCAAGUCAAACCUCUGGCGUGUACAAUAUUGCACAGCGUCCAUUGACUGCAACCCUUUCCGAAAUACCUGGGUUCCACAUCCAGUCAUCAUACCAGCCUGGCACUACAACACUGCUUCAGACAGGCCAGUCUGCGUCUACAUCUCAGGCUCAGUCCUCUGGCGCAUCAACAUUGUAUCAAGGAAUUAGGAGGAAUGUGACUUCUCUGGGUCAUGGCUUUCCAUACUCAACCCAGUCUGUGGUGACUGCAAACCAGACAUCUGGAUCCCAGACCCAGUUAUCAUACCAGCCUAGCACUACAACACUCCUUCAGACAGGCCUGUCUGCUUCUACAUCUCAGGCUCAGUCCUCUGGUGCCUCAACAUUCUAUCAAGGGAUUAGCUCUGGCAGGUAUCUGACUUCACUGGGUCAGAGCAUUCCAUCCUCCUCCCACUCUGUGGUCACUACAAACAAAAUCUCUGGAUUGCAGGACCAGUCAUUUCAGCCUGACACCACAACAAAUGCUUUGGUGGGUCAGUCUGCUUCUACAUCUUUGGCUCACGGCAACUUUCAGGCUCCAAAUUGGCAUACGAUAACUCCUCCUAGAUUCCAUAAUUUGCUACGGAACGUGUCGGUUUCUCAAUCUCUGAGCUCUGAUCCCCAAACAAGAACAAUCAACAAUAUUUUGCCGUUUCUGAACCAAAGUGCUGGGACUUCUGCCAUGUCUCAGAAUAAUGUACAGACCCCAGCAUUUCACACAUCUACACACUUCUCACCUGUCCCACAAACUGUUGCCACUCCCCCAGUCUCUCUACCCAAGCCUUGCCGACAGACACAAUGCUCAAUGGUGGAGAGUGCAAUUGCCUCUAUAGCAUCCAGCCAAACCUCUCCUCGUGUUGCCACA